CCCUUAGAUGUUCUGGACCGCACGCGCGCUACACUGAUGCAUUCAACGAGUUUUGUUUGUUCCUUGGCCGAGAGGCCUGGGCAAUCUUUUGAACUUGCAUCGUGAUAGGGAUAGAUUAUUGCAAUUAUUAAUCUUGAACGAGGAAUUCCUAGUAAACGCAGAUCAUCAAUCUGCAUUGAUUACGUCCCUGCCCUUUGUACACACCGCCCGUCGCACCUACCGAUUGAAUGGUCCGGUGAAGCCUCGGGAUUGUGGUUGGUUUCCUUUAUUGGAGAUUGAUUGCGAGAACUUGUCUAAACCUUAUCAUUUAGAGGAAGGUGAAGUCGUAACA
This 331-nucleotide ribosomal RNA is filed under the name uncultured eukaryote. Its description in RNAcentral is "partial 18S ribosomal RNA". It matches the Rfam family "Eukaryotic small subunit ribosomal RNA", at positions 1470 to 1796 of the family's 1831-position model. The record is from RNAcentral.